RNAcentral lists this small nuclear RNA (335 nucleotides) under Prolemur simus (greater bamboo lemur). RNAcentral describes it as "7SK RNA (ENSPSMG00000016487.1)". It matches the Rfam family "7SK RNA". Rfam says of the family: 7SK was discovered as an abundant small nuclear RNA in the mid-70s but a possible function has only recently been suggested. Two independent studies have found that 7SK RNA binds the CDK9/cyclin T complex (known as elongation factor P-TEFb). Lineage: Eukaryota; Metazoa; Chordata; Mammalia; Primates; Lemuridae. The record is from Rfam by way of RNAcentral.
GGAUGUGAGGGUGAUCUGGAUGCAACAUCUGUCACUCCAUUGAUCACCAGGGUUGGUUCGGCUGAUCUGGCUGGAUAGUUGGGUGUCUCCUUCCUCCCUCACCACUCCGUGUGCGUGCCUCCCAAAGCUGCAUGCUCCCUCAGUUGAAGACGACAAGCUUCCCUGCUUCCUCGAUAGAGGAGGACUGUUCUUCAGUCAAGGGUAUUUGAGUAGCUGUGCUCCCCUGCUAGAACCUCCAAACAAGCUCUCAGAGAUGUCUUGGCUAUAGUUUGCUGUUUGCAUUUUCAGAUGAUUUUAGAGUCAAUUAAUUGUAUUAAUUAAUUCUUGUAUUAAUU